CCGGAUUUUCGCGCCUGCUGCCAUCUUGAGGAGGGGGAAGGCCGGAGCAAGAUUCCAGGAGGUUGCCCUGUGUGGUUCCGAGAGGCGAAACACAGGGUCCCCAGUGCAGCUAACUACUCAUUAUCUCCUCUGCCAUUGAGGCAGUCAUGUUGCGAGACCACCCAGUGCUAG
RNAcentral lists this long non-coding RNA (171 nucleotides) under Mustela putorius furo (domestic ferret). Its description in RNAcentral is "lncRNA (ENSMPUG00000025819.1)". The record is from RNAcentral. Lineage: Eukaryota; Metazoa; Chordata; Mammalia; Carnivora; Mustelidae.